GGUGCUUGCAUCAUGAUUUACAUUUGAGUGAGUGGCGAACUGGUGAGUAACACGUGGGAAACCUGCCCAGAAGCGGGGGAUAACACCUGGAAACAGAUGCUAAUACCGCAUAACAACUUGGACCGCAUGGUCCGAGCUUGAAAGAUGGCUUCGGCUAUCACUUUUGGAUGGUCCCGCGGCGUAUUAGCUAGAUGGUGGGGUAACGGCUCACCAUGGCAAUGAUACGUAGCCGACCUGAGAGGGUAAUCGGCCACAUUGGGACUGAGACACGGCCCAAACUCCUACGGGAGGCAGCAGUAGGGAAUCUUCCACAAUGGACGAAAGUCUGAUGGAGCAACGCCGCGUGAGUGAAGAAGGGUUUCGGCUCGUAAAACUCUGUUGUUAAAGAAGAACAUAUCUGAGAGUAACUGUUCAGGUAUUGACGGUAUUUAACCAGAAAGCCACGGCUAACUACGUGCCAGCAGCCGCGGUAAUACGUAGGUGGCAAGCGUUGUCCGGAUUUAUUGGGCGUAAAGCGAGCGCAGGCGGUUUUUUAAGUCUGAUGUGAAAGCCUUCGGCUCAACCGAAGAAGUGCAUCGGAAACUGGGAAACUUGAGUGCAGAAGAGGACAGUGGAACUCCAUGUGUAGCGGUG
This 633-nucleotide ribosomal RNA is filed under the name Lactiplantibacillus plantarum. RNAcentral's name for it is "bacterial SSU rRNA". It matches the Rfam family "Bacterial small subunit ribosomal RNA", at positions 64 to 683 of the family's 1533-position model. The record is from RNAcentral. Lineage: Bacteria; Bacillati; Bacillota; Bacilli; Lactobacillales; Lactobacillaceae.